Quercus lobata is the source of this 700-nucleotide RNA transcript. RefSeq lists it as uncharacterized. Lineage: Eukaryota; Viridiplantae; Streptophyta; Magnoliopsida; Fagales; Fagaceae. The record is from RefSeq and is a predicted model, not a curated record. The transcript has 2 exons.
UCGUUAGACCUGUGACCCGUUAGAGCCGCAGCCGAUAAACCCAACCCGUUACGCCCAUUUUGCCAUGUCUGUACUUUUCAGCAUUUAGUCUCUGACUUCAACAGCCGUUCUCCCCUUUCCCUCUCCAGUCAUUAUCUUCCUCCCCUUUCGAUCAUCCAUGGCCGACCGCACCGACUCCGAUUCCCGCCUCCACAACCACCACCACCUCUCCGUCACGCCGCCACCCCAGCAGAUCUCCAAAGAAAAAUUCAUUCCUUUCGGCGGAAAGUAUUUGUGGAGGCUGAUGCAAUGGCAAGGAAGUACAGGGAAAAGCUACCUUCUGGUUUGCCUCUCAUAAAUCAGAACUCCCUCCAACCAAUGCUUUACCCUUUGAGAAUGAGGUAAGAAUGAAUGCAAAUUGGAAGUGGUUCAAAUUUGAAAGAGAAUAUGAACAAGCGUGACCCUUAAGGUUGCCCUGUGACACCAUCAAAUUAGAAAAAAGGGAGGGCUCAGAUCUUGCUAUCCUCCCCUAACCCACAUACACCCCAUAAUGAAAAAAAAGUAAAUAUCUCUCAAAUCUCAACAAGGCCAUUAUACUCUUGAAUUCACAAAAAUCAAGUUAUUUAGCUUGUAUUGCACUUAGAUCACAAGCCAUUGAAAAUCUAUGGAGACAUGAGCAUAUGUUCUUGCUGUUGACAUAGUUUUCCACUUUAUUAUUCCA